GAUUUUAGUGCUUGCACUAAAUGAAACUAUAUACAAGCGAGCGGCGGACGGGUGAGUAACACGUGGGUAACCUGCCCAAGAGACUGGGAUAACACCUGGAAACAGAUGCUAAUACCGGAUAACAACACUAGACGCAUGUCUAGAGUUUGAAAGAUGGUUCUGCUAUCACUCUUGGAUGGACCUGCGGUGCAUUAGCUAGUUGGUAAGGUAACGGCUUACCAAGGCAAUGAUGCAUAGCCGAGUUGAGAGACUGAUCGGCCACAUUGGGACUGAGACACGGCCCAAACUCCUACGGGAGGCAGCAGUAGGGAAUCUUCCACAAUGGACGAGAGUCUGAUGGAGCAACGCCGCGUGAGUGAAGAAGGGUUUCGGCUCGUAAAGCUCUGUUGGUAGUGAAGAAAGAUAGAGGUAGUAACUGGCCUUUAUUUGACGGUAAUUACUUAGAAAGUCACGGCUAACUACGUGCCAGCAGCCGCGGUAAUACGUAGGUGGCAAGCGUUGUCCGGAUUUAUUGGGCGUAAAGCGAGUGCAGGCGGUUCAAUAAGUCUGAUGUGAAAGCCUUCGGCUCAACCGGAGAAUUGCAUCAGAAACUGUUGAACUUGAGUGCAGAAGAGGAGAGUGGAACUCCAUGUGUAGCGGUGGAAUGCGUAGAUAUAUGGAAGAACACCAGUGGCGAAGGCGGCUCUCUGGUCUGCAACUGACGCUGAAGCUCGAAAGCAUGGGUAGCGAACAGGAUUAGAUACCCUGGUAGUCCAUGCCGUAAACGAUG
Molecule: ribosomal RNA, 769 nt
Filed under: uncultured bacterium
Lineage: Bacteria
Description: bacterial SSU rRNA
Rfam family: Bacterial small subunit ribosomal RNA
Source: RNAcentral